GGUAACGCCGUGCGAGCAGGCGUGGGAAUAAGUGGGAGGCACGCGUUUGCCGGAAUUAUUGGGCGUAAAGCGUCCGUAGGUGGCGAGGCAAGUCUGCGGUCAAAGACUGGGGCUUAACCCUGGAAAGGCCGUGGAAACUGACGAGCUAGAGUGCAGUAGGGGUAGAGGGAAUUCCCGGUGUAGCGGUGAAAUGCGUAGAGCUCGGGAAGAACAUCGGUGGCGAAAGCGCUCUACUGGACUGCAACUGACACUCAGGGACGAAAGCUAGGGGAGCGAAUGGGAUUAGAUACCCGAGUAGUC
This 300-nucleotide ribosomal RNA is filed under the name uncultured Hyperthermus sp. RNAcentral describes it as "bacterial SSU rRNA". It matches the Rfam family "Bacterial small subunit ribosomal RNA", at positions 496 to 795 of the family's 1533-position model. Lineage: Archaea; Thermoproteati; Thermoproteota; Thermoprotei; Desulfurococcales; Pyrodictiaceae. The record is from RNAcentral.